GCCUUGGUGGUGAAAUGGUAAACACAAUUGAUUCAAAAUCAAUCAUCUAUUUUUAGAUUUGGAGGUUCGAUUCCUCUUCAAGGCA
This 85-nucleotide transfer RNA is filed under the name Ostreobium sp. HV05042. RNAcentral's name for it is "tRNA-Leu". It matches the Rfam family "tRNA". From Rfam's summary of the family: Transfer RNA (tRNA) molecules are approximately 80 nucleotides in length. Their secondary structure includes four short double-helical elements and three loops (D, anti-codon, and T loops). RNAcentral also lists the same sequence under 1 other name. Lineage: Eukaryota; Viridiplantae; Chlorophyta; Ulvophyceae; Bryopsidales; Ostreobiaceae. The record is from RNAcentral.